RNAcentral lists this ribosomal RNA (506 nucleotides) under uncultured bacterium. RNAcentral's name for it is "bacterial SSU rRNA". It matches the Rfam family "Bacterial small subunit ribosomal RNA", at positions 15 to 507 of the family's 1533-position model. The record is from RNAcentral.
GAUCAUGGCUCAGGAUGAACGCUAGCUACAGGCUUAACACAUGCAAGUCGAGGGGAAACGACAUCGAAAGCUUGCUUUUGGUGGGCGUCGACCGGCGCACGGGUGAGUAACGCGUAUCCAACCUGCCCACCACUUGGGGGAUAACCUUGCGAAAGUAAGACUAAUACCCAAUGAUAUCCCACGAAGGCAUCCGAAUGGGAUUAAAGAUUUAUCGGUGAUGGAUGGGGAUGCGUCUGAUUAGCUUGUUGGCGGGGUAACGGCCCACCAAGGCAACGAUCAGUAGGGGUUCUGAGAGGAAGGUCCCCCACAUUGGAACUGAGACACGGUCCAAACUCCUACGGGAGGCAGCAGUGAGGAAUAUUGGUCAAUGGGCGAGAGCCUGAACCAGCCAAGUAGCGUGCAGGAUGACGGCCCUAUGGGUUGUAAACUGCUUUUAUAAGGGAAUAAAGUGAGCCUCGUGAGGCUUUUUGCAUGUACCUUAUGAAUAAGGACCGGCUAAUUCCGUG